AGUGAACGCUGGCGGUAGGCCUAACACAUGCAAGUCGAACGGCAGCCCAGUAAGAGCUUGCUCUUACGGGUGGCGCGUGGCGGACGGGUGAGGAAUACAUCGGAAUCUACUUUUUCGUGGGGGAUAACGUAGGGAAACUUACGCUAAUACUGCAUACGACCUACGGGUGAAAGCAGGGGAUCUUCGGACCUUGCGCGAUUGAAUGAACCGAUGUCGGAUUAGCUAGUUGGCAGGGUAAAGGCCCACCAAGGCGACGAUCCGUAGCUGGUCUGAGAGGAUGAUCAGCCACACUGGAACUGAGGCACGGUCCAGACUCCUACGGGAGGCAGCAGUGGGGAAUAUUGGACAAUGGGCGCAAGCCUGAUCCAGCCAUACCGCGUGGGUGAAGAAGGCCUUCGGGUUGUAAAGCCCUUUUGUUGGGAAAGAAAAGCAGCAGGUUAAUACCCCGCUGUUCUGACGGUACCCAAAGAAUAAGCACCGGCUAACUUCGUG
Molecule: ribosomal RNA, 492 nt
Filed under: uncultured bacterium
Lineage: Bacteria
Description: partial 16S ribosomal RNA
Rfam family: Bacterial small subunit ribosomal RNA
Source: RNAcentral